CUCCCCCACCAACCUCAGUGGUUCAGUGGUGUCUGCAAAAUGCAUCCAUCCUGCCAUCUGAGUAGCAGAACUGUAAGAGAAAGCAACAUUCACCUUUGUGUCACAGAUCAAAUGGUAACCCACUGAAGACCACCCCAUUACCUUGUGCUAGAACAGAACUGCCUCUGCCAUCUCUCUUUAACAGAAGCACAUCCUGAGAAUCUGAGAGCUCAAGGUAAGUGGCUGAACACUGUCAACACAUACAGACAUCUAACUGUCUCCUUACUGUACAGCCAUAGCAAGAAACAAAUGCAUGCAGUGCUGUCAAGGUAGAAGACACCACUGUUUACUACCCCAGUCCCAAAUAUCUGUGUACGUUAGCACAGCCUACCUAGCUCUUCUGUCAUUGUCUUUUUAAGUAAACAUUAUACAUUUGAACUGAA
Molecule: non-coding RNA, 422 nt
Filed under: Pongo abelii (Sumatran orangutan)
Lineage: Eukaryota; Metazoa; Chordata; Mammalia; Primates; Hominidae
Source: RNAcentral